CCUACGGGCGGCAGCAGUAGGGAAUAUUGCUCAAUGGGGGAAACCCUGAAGCAGCAACGCCGCGUGGAGGAUGAAGGUUUUCGGAUUGUAAACUCCUUUUGUUAGAGAAGAUAAUGACGGUAUCUAACGAAUAAGCACCGGCUAACUCCGUGCCAGCAGCCGCGGUAAUACGGGGGGCGCAAGCGUUACUCGGAAUCACUGGGCGUAAAGAGCGCGUAGGCGGGAUAGCAAGUCAGAUGUGAAAUCCUAUGGCUUAACCAUAGAACUGCAUUUGAAACUGUUAUUCUAGAGUAUGGGAGAGGUAGGUGGAAUUCUUGGUGUAGGGGUAAAAUCCGUAGAGAUCAAGAGGAAUACUCAGUGCGAAGGCGACCUGCUGGAACAUAACUGACGCUGAUGCGCGAAAGCGUGGGGAGCAAACAGGAUUAGAUACCCCUGUAGUC
Molecule: ribosomal RNA, 440 nt
Filed under: uncultured bacterium
Lineage: Bacteria
Description: partial 16S ribosomal RNA
Rfam family: Bacterial small subunit ribosomal RNA
Source: RNAcentral